GUGGGGAAUAUUGGGCAAUGGGCGAAAGCCUGACCCAGCAACGCCGCGUGAAGGAAGAAGGUUUUCGGAUCGUAAACUUCUAUCCUUGGUGAAGAUAAUGACGGUAGCCAAGAAGGAAGCCCCGGCUAACUACGUGCCAGCAGCCGCGGUAAUACGUAGGGGGCAAGCGUUGUCCGGAAUGAUUGGGCGUAACGGGCGCGUAGGCGGCCCGGUAAGUCUGAAGUGAAAGUCCUGCUUUUAAGGUGGGAAUUGCUUUGGAUACUGUCGGGCUUGAGUGCAGGAGAGGUAAGCGGAAUUCCCGGUGGAGCGGUGAAAUGCGUAGAGAUCGGGAGGAACACCAGUGGCGAAGGCGGCUUACUGGACUGUAACUGACGCUGAGGCGCGAAAGUGUGGGGAGCAAACAGGAUUAGAAACCCUUGUAGUCC
RNAcentral lists this ribosomal RNA (425 nucleotides) under uncultured bacterium. RNAcentral's name for it is "partial 16S ribosomal RNA". It matches the Rfam family "Bacterial small subunit ribosomal RNA", at positions 354 to 796 of the family's 1533-position model. The record is from RNAcentral.